GCUCCCAUCGUCUAGCGGUCUAGGACGCCGCCCUCUCACGGCGGAAACACGGGUUCGAGUCCCGUUGGGAGUGCCA
RNAcentral lists this transfer RNA (76 nucleotides) under Fulvimarina pelagi. RNAcentral's name for it is "tRNA-Glu". It matches the Rfam family "tRNA". Rfam says of the family: Transfer RNA (tRNA) molecules are approximately 80 nucleotides in length. Their secondary structure includes four short double-helical elements and three loops (D, anti-codon, and T loops). Lineage: Bacteria; Pseudomonadati; Pseudomonadota; Alphaproteobacteria; Hyphomicrobiales; Aurantimonadaceae. RNAcentral also lists the same sequence under 2 other names. The record is from RNAcentral.